CCAAUAGCGUAUAUUAAAGUUGUUGCAGUUAAAAAGCUCGUAGUUGAAUUUCGGAAUCAAUAUGUUGGUCGUGCCUUGGUACGUACUAGUUUAUUGGUUUCUUCCUUCUGACGAACCAUGAUGUCAUUAAUUUGGUGUCUUGGGGAAUCAGGACUGUUACUUUGAAAAAAUUAGAGUGUUUAAAGCAGGCUCACGCUUGAAUACAUUAGCAUGGAAUAAUGAAAUAGGACGUUUGAUUCUAUUUUGUUGGUUUCUAGGAUCGACGUAAUGAUUAAUAGGGAUAGUUGGGGGCAUUAGUAUUCAAUUGUCAGAGGUGAAAUUCUUGGAUUUAUUGAAGACUAACUACUGCGAAAGCAUUUGCCAAGGAUGUUUUCAUUAAUCAAGAACGAAAGUUAGGGGAUCGAAGACGAUCAGAUACCGUCGUAGUCUUAACCAUAAACUAUGCCGACUAGGGAUCGGAUGAUGUUAAUUUUUUAAUGACUCAUUCGGCGCCUUACG
RNAcentral lists this ribosomal RNA (498 nucleotides) under uncultured Glomeromycotina. RNAcentral's name for it is "partial small subunit ribosomal RNA". It matches the Rfam family "Eukaryotic small subunit ribosomal RNA", at positions 591 to 1092 of the family's 1831-position model. Lineage: Eukaryota; Fungi; Glomeromycota. The record is from RNAcentral.